AAAAAGCAAAGUGAGCAAUAAUUCCAUAAUAAAGUUUUCUUUUUCUUUUUCUUUUUUGGGUUGAAGAGUGGUGCAUAUAAUAUGUAAAGGAAGGUUAAAAUUUACCAACUGCUGUUACCUAACUUUGCUGGUGGGUAGGGGAGAGGGUUGGGAUCGAUGCUGGAAUCUAGGGCUAAUAGAGUAGCCAGUAAUUGGCCAAAAAACGAAAAAGAUUUCUAUUUUACCAUCAGAAAAAAGCAAUUGAUGAUUUGAUAUUGAAAUUGACACCGUCAAAGCAUGUCUAAUUGGAACUGUCAUUUUUCUUUUUUUUUUUAGUGCUAAUAUAAACUUUUGGCAAAUACACUAGUGGUAUGUGUUCUUAGUCAUUGCAUUUUUCUUCAAGAAAAAUAUAUGUUCCGGAGCUUUUACUUGAUUUAUAAAAAAGAGUAAUGUCUUUUUAGAGAGAAAGAGACAAAGAAUUUUCUUUCUUUGAUGCCCGAGUGAUAAGUUCUAUAUGUUUUUAGGGUUUAGGGUAAUCCGACCGAAAAAAAAAGAGUGAUAAGUUCUAUAUGUUUUUUCAUCAUGUCGCCUGC
This 572-nucleotide long non-coding RNA is filed under the name Prunus persica (peach). RNAcentral's name for it is "long non-coding RNA (PPER_LNC007218)". Lineage: Eukaryota; Viridiplantae; Streptophyta; Magnoliopsida; Rosales; Rosaceae. The record is from RNAcentral.